This 30-nucleotide non-coding RNA is filed under the name Mus musculus (house mouse). Lineage: Eukaryota; Metazoa; Chordata; Mammalia; Rodentia; Muridae. The record is from RNAcentral.
UACCUAUAUGUUUUUCNCUGCCUACCAUCA